This 389-nucleotide ribosomal RNA is filed under the name uncultured bacterium. RNAcentral's name for it is "bacterial SSU rRNA". It matches the Rfam family "Bacterial small subunit ribosomal RNA", at positions 355 to 759 of the family's 1533-position model. The record is from RNAcentral.
UGGGGAAUUUUCCGCAAUGGGCGCAAGCCUGACGGAGCAAGACCGCGUGAGGGAGGAAGGCUCUUGGGUUGUAAACCUCUUUUAUCAGGGAAGAAGAUCUGACGGUACCUGAUGAAUCAGCAUCGGCUAACUCCGUGCCAGCAGCCGCGGUAAUACGGAGGAUGCAAGCGUUAUCCGGAUUUAUUGGGCGUAAAGCGUCCGCAGGUGGUUUUUCAAGUCUGCUGUUAAAGCGCAGAGCUUAACUCUGUAACGGCGGUGGAAACUGAGAGACUAGAGUAUGGUAGGGGUUGCGGGAAUUCCCAGUGUAGCGGUGAAAUGCGUAGAUAUUGGGAAGAACACCAGCGGCGAAAGCGCGCAACUGGGCCAUUACUGACACUCAUGGACGAAAG